GGGUAUAGCUCAGUGGUAGAGUGUGUGCUUAGCAUGCACAAGGUCCUGGGUUCAAUCCCCAGUACCUACA
This 70-nucleotide transfer RNA is filed under the name Camelus bactrianus (Bactrian camel). It matches the Rfam family "tRNA". Rfam says of the family: Transfer RNA (tRNA) molecules are approximately 80 nucleotides in length. Their secondary structure includes four short double-helical elements and three loops (D, anti-codon, and T loops). Lineage: Eukaryota; Metazoa; Chordata; Mammalia; Artiodactyla; Camelidae. RNAcentral also lists the same sequence under 1 other name. The record is from Rfam by way of RNAcentral.